AGAGGCCCAGGCCGAGGGAGCAGCAGGCCCCACGCAGGGAGCCCGAGGCGGACUCGAUCCGGGGACCUGGGGUCACGGCCUGGGCCGCAGGUGGUGCUCCCCCCCUGAGCCCCCGGGAUCCCCUAAGUGUGCGAUGGUUACGCAGCAGUGGAAAAGCCACGCAUGUCCCUUGAGCACGAGCACAGUCCCGUCCCUGCUGCACCAGGAGCAAACCUACCGCCCGAGCACCCGAAUGCACGAGGAGCACCCCCUGACCAGUCACAUGCGGAUUCGGAUUCUGCAGAUGAGACGAAGAAGGCCUCGAUGCAGCCGGUGAGCCCAGGAGCGGGGCGCCCGGCCGGCCUAGGCGGCCUCCGGUGGGCAGGUCCCCGACAGAUUGUUCAGGGUCAGGCCGAAGGCCUGUCGCCAGGAGACGAAGGUCCCGCCUUGGCCUCUGGGUCACGGGCCCGAGCGAGCGCCAACCUCAGGAUGGCCUUUACCUCCGUGGACGUCCGUUGUGCCAGCUGAGCACUGAGCGAGCCGCGGCCGGCCAGGCUGACCCUCCACCCCGCCGCCCCGGACGACACUCGGAGCCUCUGGUUUGCCUUCGCCGGCAGCGACCCGCUGCCACAGGCUCCCUUGCACACCCUGGACUCCGCUCCGAACCUUGAUGGUCACACGAGCCCCGUGUCUAUUUUUCAGGUCCUUCCCUUGGGACCCCUGAUUUUCUGUCUUAUCAGGACGACCCUGCAAGCAAACCCUUCGACUCCCCAUAACUCACAUGCGCAGCUGCUUGAACUUCUUGAUUUUCGUCCAUACCUGGGCUUGCAGCGGAAUAAUCUGGGACAAUUUUUAAAAAUGCGUUUGUUUCUGGCUACGGAGGAAAACGGCCAAGCCUACGCCCUACGAAACUGUUCACAAACACAGCCGAUACCCCUUAUUUCUACCCCCAGGCCUUUCACAAUGUUUUACGAUGGUGGUUACAACCCUACAGCGCUUUAUAUUCGCAGGAUAACUGCAUACGCCACUGCUACUGAAGAGUCCGAGAGGAAUUGUGUACACAAACCACAUUUUCUUUAUCCAUUCAUCUUUCGAUGGACACCGAAAUGACAAAUACCCGCCAUUUGCUUCAACGCGCAUGGACCUGGAGGAAUGGAUGGAAUUUUUCACCUAACAGCUGAUCGAGUGAGAGGCCCGGCACCCAUCGCUGCGUCUUCACCUACUCGAGUCCCAGUGGACUGGAAGUCUGCUGACACGGGAUCUACGUCUUCCCUCUCCCAUUUUCCAAAGGCUAGAGCAAGCGCCGCCAUUUCUCAUCUGCAAAACUGGAAUAGUCUAUUUCCUUCCCAACUGAAUUAAAUAAUUUUACUGGCCGGGGCUCCUGGGUGGCCCAGUUGGUUAAGCAUCUGACUCUUGAUUUUGGCUCAUGACGUCAGGAUCUUGAGAUCAAGCCCCACAUCAGGUUCC
This is a long non-coding RNA of Canis lupus familiaris (dog), 1446 nucleotides long. RefSeq lists it as uncharacterized. NCBI's taxonomy places the organism in Eukaryota, Metazoa, Chordata, Mammalia, Carnivora, Canidae. The record is from RefSeq and is a predicted model, not a curated record. The transcript has 4 exons.